RNAcentral lists this ribosomal RNA (253 nucleotides) under uncultured bacterium. Its description in RNAcentral is "partial 16S ribosomal RNA". It matches the Rfam family "Bacterial small subunit ribosomal RNA", at positions 524 to 776 of the family's 1533-position model. The record is from RNAcentral.
UACGUAGGGGGCGAGCGUUGUCCGGAUUCAUUGGGCGUAAAGCGCGCGUAGGCGGCCCCGCAAGUCGGCCGUGAAAUCUCCGGGCUCAACUCGGAGGGGUCGGGCGAGACUGCGGGGCUCGAGGUGGGUAGAGGGCGGUGGAAUUCCGGGUGUAGUGGUGGAAUGCGUAGAGAUCCGGAGGAACACCAGUGGCGAAGGCGGCCGCCUGGGCCUGGCCUGACGCUGAGGCGCGAAAGCGUGGGGAGCGAUCCGG